RNAcentral lists this ribosomal RNA (105 nucleotides) under Caerostris darwini. The record is from RNAcentral. Lineage: Eukaryota; Metazoa; Arthropoda; Arachnida; Araneae; Araneidae.
AUACCAUGCUGAAUAUACCGGUUUUCGUUUUAUCACCGAAGUCAAGCAUCAUUGGGCGCGGUCAGUACUUGGGUGGGUGACCACCUGGGAACACCGCGUGCCGUU